This 775-nucleotide ribosomal RNA is filed under the name uncultured Neocallimastigales. RNAcentral describes it as "partial large subunit ribosomal RNA". It matches the Rfam family "Eukaryotic large subunit ribosomal RNA", at positions 24 to 611 of the family's 3401-position model. Lineage: Eukaryota; Fungi; Neocallimastigomycota; Neocallimastigomycetes; Neocallimastigales. The record is from RNAcentral.
UAUCUCUGUAGAGUCUGCAUAUCAAUAAGCGGAGGAAAAGAAACUAACUAGGAUUCCCUCAGUAACGGCGAGUGAAGCGGGAAGAGCUCAAAUUCGAAAUCUUCAAGGUUUUACCUUGACGAAUUGUAGUUUAAAGAAGUGUUUUCUGUUGGAAUUUUGGUAAAAGUUCUUUGGAAAAAGACAUCAAAGAGGGUGAGAAUCCCGUAUUUGACCAUUAUUUCCAGCUGUGUGAUACACUCUUCAAAGAGUCGGAUUGUUUGGGAAUGCAGUCCAAAAUGGGUGGUAAAUUUCAUCUAAAGCUAAAUACUGGCGAGAGACCGAUAGCGAACAAGUACCGUGAGGGAAAGAUGAAAAGAACUUUGAAAAGAGAGUUAAACAGUACGUGAAAUUGUCAAAAGGGAAGCGUUUGACACCAGUGUUGUUUUCUCGAAAAUCAAUUAAAAAAGAUUGGAUUUUGUGUUGUAUUGACUUUAUCAGCUUUCUGCACUUUUUUCUUGUCUUUUUUAAUGCACUUUUCGUUUGACAAGUCAACAUCAAUUUCUUUUGUUGUAAAAGGGUCAUUGGAAGGUGGCUUUCUUUUCGGAGAAAGUGUUUAUAGCCUUUGGCUUCUGCAAUCGGAGAGAUUGAGGUCUGCAGCGUAGAUCCUUCGGGGUUAGAUACAUUUGUGCUAAGUUAUAGCCUUUCAUAGACAACUUGUUGACUAUGAUCAGUCAUGUAGCUUACUCGCUUAUGCUAUUUUACCUACGCUUAGGAUGUUGAACGCGCACAGAGUCUC